CACGUAGGGUGCGAGCGUUGUCCGGAAUUAUUGGGCGUAAAGAGCUCGUAGGCGGUGUGUCGCGUCGGCCGUGAAAACCUGCAGCUUAACUGUGGGCUUGCGGUCGAUACGGGCAUCACUGGAGUUCGGCAGGGGAGACUGGAAUUCCUGGUGUAGCGGUGAAAUGCGCAGAUAUCAGGAGGAACACCAAUAGCGAAGGCAGCUCGCUGGGACGUUACUGACACUGAGGCGCGAAAGCGUGGGGAGCGAACAGG
Molecule: ribosomal RNA, 254 nt
Filed under: uncultured bacterium
Lineage: Bacteria
Description: partial 16S ribosomal RNA
Rfam family: Bacterial small subunit ribosomal RNA
Source: RNAcentral